GUUCCCUCACUUUUCAUAUUCUCUCUUUUCUUUUCUCAUUCACACUUGCUAAACCCAACAGUUGGCAACUCUGACCCUUAACUUUUGAUGUGCACAAUUAAACAAUUAAACUUGUAUAAAAUUGAACAAAUUGACAUAUUCGUCCUACAUAGCACCCUACAUGAAAAUUUUGUGUCCUACAUAGCAUACUGCACGUAUGAUGCCAUGUUUUAAAAAGAACAUUUUAGGGAGUACAAAGAUAGAAAAGGUAAAAUUGUAAAGCGAUUCGUCAAAUAAAAAGUUCUUAUAAUAUCAUAAAUAAAAAUAAACAACUUAUGGUUGAUAUCGGAUUAUAAGCACUUGAGUUAUAAGUGUUUGCCAAUUAUAUAUUUAAGCUUUUAAAAUAGGCUUAUGAACUAGUUUGAACCACUUAGAAAUUUAACCUACUUAAUAUAAAAGUAGCAUAUUGGGUACUAGAUAUAACCAAAGACUCUCAUUCUGUAAUAAUUGUGUGUAGUUAAUUACAUGCACACACCUAAUUAUGUAUAUGGAAAAAAAUGAAAUUUAUAAUCUAAAACCUUGACAUAUUGACAUUGCCUAACUAUAAAAGGGCAGAACUAUUAAUGUAAUGCUGAAGCACAUAUUAGUUAUUAUAACUUAGUCAUAUAUCAUAGAAAAAAUGAGUCUUGAAGGUAAAUUGGUUUCUGAGAUAAAUAUCAAAUGUGAUGGAGAUGUGUUCCAUGAAAUAAUUAUGUACAAACCACAUUAUAUGUGCAACAUAUGCCUUGAUAAGAUACAAAAUGUGGAUAUUCAUGAAGGUGAUUUGGGUACUAUUGGCUCUGUUAGGUUUUGAAAAUUCACACAUGAUGGGAAAGAGAUGGUGGCAAAGGAAGUUAUUGAAGAAAUAGAUGAAGAAAAGAAGUUGGUUAAAAAAAAGAUGAUUGAAGGAGAUAUGUUAGAGUAUUAUGAAUCAUUUUACCUCACUAUUCAUGUUGAGACAAAGGAAGAAAACAACUUAGUUAGAUUUUGGAAUAUUAAAAGAAGAAUGUGCAUGUGCCUGAUCCACAGACUUUCAUGGAAUUAUGUAUCAAUAUCACUAAAGAUAUUGAGAGUUACCACAUCAAGUGAUACAUAAAUACAUAUAUGUAUGUACUUGAAGUAAUAUUAUGUGGUGUGGUUAAAGAAUUUGCUUUGAAAUGUCUAAUAUAUAUGUAGAAAAAAUAAAGGGAGUGGAUAUUGAUAAAUAAACAUAUAUAAAAGCUCCUUCUAAUACAUA
Molecule: long non-coding RNA, 1255 nt
Organism: Solanum lycopersicum (tomato)
Lineage: Eukaryota; Viridiplantae; Streptophyta; Magnoliopsida; Solanales; Solanaceae
Source: RefSeq, a predicted model, not a curated record